AACACCAAUGCCCUUGGGGUUUUACAGAUGAUUAGUAAUAACUUCUCGAAUCGCACGGCCGAGGCCGCCGAUGGUUCAUUCAAAUUUCUGCCCUAUCAACUUUCGACGGCUGGGUCUUGGCCAGCCGUGGUGACAACGGGUAAUGGAGGGUUAGGGCUCGACCCCGGAGAAGGAGCAUGAGAAACGGCUACUACAUCCAAGGAAGGCAGCGGGCGCGCAAAUUACCCAAUCGAGACACGGGGAGGUAGUGACAAUAAAUACUUAUACAGGUCUCUUUUGGGUAAUGUAAUUGGAAUGAGUACAAUUUAAAUCCCUUAACGAGGAACAAUUGGAGGGCAAGUGGGGUGACAGCAGCCCCGGUAAUUCCAGCUCCAAUAGCGUAUAUUAAGUUGUUGAGGUUAAAAAGCUCGUAGUUGAACCAUGGGCAUAGCCGGCCGGUCCGCCUCACCCAUUGCAUUGGAUAGGCUGGGUCUUUCCUUCAGGAGAACGGCAUGCCCUUCAGUGGGUGUACCGGGGAAACAGCACUUUAC
This 530-nucleotide ribosomal RNA is filed under the name uncultured Chaetomium. RNAcentral describes it as "bacterial SSU rRNA". It matches the Rfam family "Eukaryotic small subunit ribosomal RNA", at positions 218 to 755 of the family's 1831-position model. Lineage: Eukaryota; Fungi; Ascomycota; Sordariomycetes; Sordariales; Chaetomiaceae. The record is from RNAcentral.